This 396-nucleotide ribosomal RNA is filed under the name uncultured bacterium. RNAcentral describes it as "bacterial SSU rRNA". It matches the Rfam family "Bacterial small subunit ribosomal RNA", at positions 30 to 426 of the family's 1533-position model. The record is from RNAcentral.
AUUGAACGCUGGCGGCAUGCCUUACACAUGCAAGUCGAACGGCAGCACGGGAGCAAUCCUGGUGGCGAGUGGCGAACGGGUGAGUAAUAUAUCGGAACGUGCCCAGUCGUGGGGAUAACGUAGCGAAAGCUACUCUAAUACCGCAUACGAUCUAUGGAUGAAAGCGGGGGAUCGCAAGACCUCGCGCGAUUGGAGCGGCCGAUAUCAGAUUAGGUAGUUGGUGAGGUAAAGGCUCACCAAGCCGACGAUCUGUAGCUGGUCUGAGAGGACGACCAGCCACACUGGGACUGAGACACGGCCCAGACUCCUACGGGAGGCAGCAGUGGGGGAAUUUUUGGGACAAUGGGCGCAAGCCUGAUCCAGCAAUGCCGCGUGCAGGAUGAAGGCCUCGGUUGU